CGAAUCUUGAUGAAAGUCGAGAGUGCCUUCGGGAGCGUAGAGACAGUUGGUGCAUGGCUGUCGUCAGUUCGUGUCGUGAGAUGUUGGCUUAAGUCCCGCAACGAGCGCAACCCACGUUUUUAGUUGCCAUCAUUAAGUUGGGCACUCUAGAGAGACUGCCGGUGACAAACCGGAGGAAGGUGUGGAUGACGUCAAGUCAUCAUGCCCCUUACACCCUGGGCUACACACGUACUACAAUGCAUUGGACAAAGGGCAGCGAGUCAGUGAUGGCGAGCAAAUCUCAGAAACCAAUGCACAGUUCAGAUUGUAGGCUGCAACUCGCCUACAUGAAGGAGGAAUCGCUAGUAAUCGCAGGUCAGCAUACUGCGGUGAAUACGUUCCCGGGCCUUGUACACACCGCCCGUCACACCAUGGAAGUUGGUUUCGCCCGAAGUCGUUACUCCAACCAUUCGUGGAGGAGGACGCCGAAGGCAGGGCUGAUGACUGGGGUG
RNAcentral lists this ribosomal RNA (491 nucleotides) under uncultured cyanobacterium. RNAcentral's name for it is "bacterial SSU rRNA". It matches the Rfam family "Bacterial small subunit ribosomal RNA", at positions 992 to 1482 of the family's 1533-position model. Lineage: Bacteria; Bacillati; Cyanobacteriota. The record is from RNAcentral.